GAUUUCUGAAAUAGUGUUUUCUGGUUUUAUUGGAUGAAAAUUAGUUUACCUGAUAAUGAUCUUUCAGUAAUUGGUUGAAGAAAUCAUUUAGGUAAUCUUGUUUCAGAUUCAUUCUGUAAAACUUUAAAUUCUAUUGCCCUGAUCAUUUUUAGUACAGGUAUCUCUCAUUUAUGUAAUAGAAAGUUUUUUGUGGAAUUUCGUUCAUUUUCUAUGUUUUUCCAUUCAUUCCCUUUCUACAGUCACACGGGGGAAAUUUAUCCACUGGAACGCAACAUAGUACAAUGAAGUAAGCACUGUAAAAUGGAAAAUGUAAAGACAAUCAAGAUGUUAACGCUAAAGUGUUAACAUUGAUGUGGUAGUGUACUCAUGA
This 370-nucleotide long non-coding RNA is filed under the name Bos taurus (domestic cattle). RNAcentral describes it as "long non-coding RNA NONBTAT011379". Lineage: Eukaryota; Metazoa; Chordata; Mammalia; Artiodactyla; Bovidae. The record is from RNAcentral.